UACGGGAGGCAGCAGUCGGGAAUUUUGCCCAAUGGACGAGAGUCUGAGGCAGCAACUCCGCGUGAGGGAUGAAGGCCUUCGGGUCGUAAACCUCUUUUCUCAGGGAAGAUACAAGACGGUACCUGAGGAAUAAGCCACGGCUAACUACGUGCCAGCAGCCGCGGUAAU
This 168-nucleotide ribosomal RNA is filed under the name uncultured bacterium. RNAcentral describes it as "partial 16S ribosomal RNA". It matches the Rfam family "Bacterial small subunit ribosomal RNA", at positions 340 to 524 of the family's 1533-position model. The record is from RNAcentral.